Molecule: transfer RNA, 16 nt
Filed under: Delma hebesa
Lineage: Eukaryota; Metazoa; Chordata; Lepidosauria; Squamata; Pygopodidae
Description: partial tRNA-Trp
Source: RNAcentral
AGAAACUUAGGUAAAC